GGCAGUGACCAUGUGGAUAAAGUGGGGACAGAUUCCAGAGAUCUCUUAAAGGUAGAACCAAAAGGACUUGAGGUCUCAUUGUAUUGAACAUUCGAGGGAAGAGUGAGUCUAACAGAACUUCAGAGAUUUCUAGCUUGGCCAAACUGGUUGAGGCGCCUUAACAUGAAAUACGUGGUAUGGCAAUAGAGAAGGGAAAACAUACUCUAAUGAAUUUGAGUUGCCCAUGGGAAAUUCAAGUGUAGUACCCAGUGGCUAUCUGUGUAGUCUGGAGCUUAUGAGAGAGGUCUGAGCCUAAACAGAAUUGGAGGGUUGUCUUUCACUGGGAGUGGAUGAGUUCACCUAGGAAAAAUAGGUAGCUAUCUGGCUUAUUAUUAGUUAAAAUAAUACUCAUCAAGUUGAAGGCCUAAUGUGCUAGAUAUGGUACCAAGCACUUUAUCUGCCUUCUCUCUCACAAAGCCCCGAAUAGAGUUGGUACUUUGAUCCUAAUCAUACUGAUGAGGAACUUCCAAAAAGGUAGGUGUCUUGCCUAAGGCCCCACAAUGAGUAGGGGUAUUGCCAGGCUUUGAAUUCAGGUCUGUCUUCUUAAGUCUUUUCUUUUUCCCCCCUUCCAAUAGAUGCUUAGAAUCACAUGGAAGAAAUCAUAGGCUCUCUCUGACAGAGGCACAGGCACCCCACAUUUUAUGUUCCGUUUCCAGGAUUUCACAAACGAAGCCCAUGCUCCAUGGCCCAGAGAGAGAAGGCAGCCCAAGAUGAAACCCUGGAGAAGAGAGUAUUGUAGUAAAGACAGAUGGAGAAGCGGUACUGAAGAGCAGAAAAUCAGAUCAGGGAAGACAGAAGGAUGAAGUUGAGUUGGUUGAGUUAGAAGUUCAGACAGUUGACUCUGUCUUAAUUAUCAACCCAUCAACCCACUUAGGUAUUUUUUUUCUUCUGCUUUCUCCAGGAUAACUGGAAUCGGUAUUGAGAUGAAAAGUUAGAAGAACCUGGGCAGGGAGAUUGCCAAAGAAUUAAGAAGUAUGAGUGUGGCUAAGUGAUGGCCUUGCCUGGGUUUUCAACGAAGAACUGGAAGCUGCCGUGUGAUUAACGGAGGCUGCUGAUCAUCAACCCCAGGUGUACGGUAGGGGGCUGGGACCAGGACAACAAACUCAAAUGGCAGUGGAGCCAGGCAGAUACUGUAAGGUAACAAACAGGGCAGGCCGGGUGCACCGGGCCUGCUGGAGAUGUGCUAGCCAUUCGGCUGGAGUGGAAACGUGAGCUCAGAGUUAACCUGAUCUGUCCAUUUUUCCAGAGAAGCUAGAUAAUAGGUGAUUUUUGAAUUGUCUUUCAAUUUCUAUAUGGCAACCAUACAUAUUUUUUUCUUAAAAAACGUAUGGGGGUCAGGGGGCCGAUGACAGUUGCUGCCCAUCGGUGACCAGUUUGCAGCUUGGUAGCUUCAGGAAGCCUCCUUUGGCGUCCUGACUUGUUUUAGGUUUCUGAACCUUUUUUCUGCAAUUGUGAGAAAUAAGGGCCUGGGCCUAAAACUUCCUCGACGAGGAUUUUAUCAAGAUUUAAAAUACCCCCACUGGUCAAAAAGCAGAGAACCAAGGUUUGAAAUUAGCAUUCUACGUAGUCUUACUACAUAACAAACAUAAGUGAAAAACAUCAGUGAGGUGGUCAAAUACAAAAAAAUUCUCAGUUUUUCCCAUAAAACAUGGCUUAGAUGGCCCAGUUUAUUAAUUUUAUGUCAGAGCUUUCUGCCAACACUCAUGGUAAUUAAUGUGCAUGUGUUAUAGUUUGUAAUGUUUUCAUAUAAAUGAACCUCAUAAUAAAGCCUGGUUUUCUCCUCCAGGAAGUAAUUUCUCCCAGCAUCAGAGAGCCAGCACGAGGAGAGCUGGGAUCAGAAUUUGGUUUUCCAGCUGCAGUGUCCAGUGCUCAUUUCUCCUGUACCAUAUGGCCACAUUAAAAAGAAAUGUGUUAGGUUCCGGUUUUAUUUUCACUUCCAAACUGAUACUCUGAAGCUAACACAGAGACUGAUUUUGUAUUAAAAAAUACAAAUGCAUAGGACUAAAUAUAGAGAAUAUUCAUCAAAAUAUUAAUAGGCGUUAUUACCUCUGCAGGGUAGAAUGACAAGGCAAGUCCACUUUAGUAUCCUGAAUUUCUUCUGCAAUGAGCAUAUUCUUUUUUUUUUUUUUUUUUUUGCGGUACGUGGGCCUCUCACUGUUGCGGCCUCUCCCGUUGCGGAGCACAGGCUCCGGACGUGCAGGCUCAGCGGCCAUGGCUCACAGGCCCAGCCCCUCCACGGCACGUGGGAUCUUCCCAGACCGGGGCACGAACCCGUGUCCCCUGCAUCGGCAGGCAGACUCUCAACCACUGCUCCACCAGGGAAGCCCCCAUAUUACCAAUUUCUUCAAGAAAUUACAGUGAUCAUUGUUAAUAAGCUUUUAUAAAUAAGCAUUUUUAGAAAUCCAUCCCGCAUUUUAAGAGUCCACAGCACCUGCAGGAAGCUCCUGUCAGAGCACAGCUCUGGUCCCUGCUUCCUUGGCAAACAGUCAGUGGCCCCUCUUUCAGUACAGUACUGACGGCUGCCACUGUCUUGACUUUUAAGGCAGUGCUUCUAAUACUUUGCCAUUAAGUAUAUCAUUUGCAAGAGGGCUUUGCUUUCCCAACCUGUUAUUACUCGUAGUUUUACUCAAGUUUUUAAUGAAGAAUGAAUGUUUGUUUCAAGUUAUUUUCAACAGAUUAUCCACUGAGAUCAUGUGUUUUGUUUUAUCCUCUAAUAUGUUAAUGAAUCAUUCCCAUCAGCAAUGUAAACAUGCUCUCUUAAAAAAAUGAAUCAAAAACCUCAUACUUCUCUCCCCUUCCUUUUUACAGUAAAAUGCCAUCUCCCAUUCUCUCUUUAACUCAGCUCUACCAAAACUGCUCUUGUCAAGGUCACCAUUCAGCAAGCCUGGGAUCCUCUUAGCAAAUCCGGCUGCCUCUACAGUUUAUUCCACCACUCCCCAGCGUCCCUGCAGCUCAGGGCCAUGGUGACACUUAAAAGCACCGCGUUUAAUCAUACAGCAUCUUCUUCGUAAAAUUCAGAAGGCUUAAAGGUAAGAGAUGACAUGCAUGAUCCCCUAUUUUACUGAAGAGGCGGGGUCAGGAUUAGAACUCAAGUAAAGUCCUGUAGUCUCUGUAACCAUUUACCAUAGACCAGAGCUGUUCAGAUGAUGCAAAUGUGACAUUAUUUUAACAUUACUGGACCCCAUUCUUAGAGAUGUCAAAAAAAGUAAACUGAAAGAAACCAUGCAGUAUUUAUUUUAUACAGUUCAACUGGGCACAAAGUAAAGUAAGCACCUCUACAGGAAAUCCUUGGUGUAUGAGGGUUUUUUUUUCCUUACAUAUUAAUUACUCUGGAUAGUUUUUGAACUCUGUUUAAUAGCAGGUCUCCUUUCUUGAUAGUUUCUUGGUACUGCCAGUUCUUGCUAUCAGGUCUAUAAAUAAAUCGAAGAAAAAAAUGAAUUAUUUACCAGUCACAUUACUCCAUAACAAUAGCUGACCUACUUUAAAAAGAAGGCACUCUUGUUUUAAGAGUGCCCUUUAUUUUGUGCAGUAUUACAACUGAUACACAAACUUAAGAGUACCUGUUCGUUUCCACUAUUUCAUUCACUUUAUCUAUUUUGCAGUGUAGCCUCCCAGCAGCAAUAAAUCUGGAGAGUUCCCUAAUUGAGAGAGAAGGGAAAAAAAGCCUUUAGCAUUAGCCUUAUAGACAAUUCUUAGAAAAAUAUAAAUAAACACAUGAUUUGUCUUUCAAGGUAACAUUUUGAUGUGCUGCGCAGUAGUUGAGAAGAUGGUCUCCAGUGUAUUGCAGGUGUCUUAUCUACCAGCAUUAACGUGACCCUACAAGUGCCUAUUCCUCUGAAGCGUAGGUGGUCAAAGAAUGAAGCCAUUCACAGCAGUGUACAUAGUUGCAUCUCCAGAGUGCAGCUGCAAAACCCACUGGCACCGAAGUACACAGAGAAAACUACCCAACCAGAUAUAACCAGCCUUGUGAGUCCUACCCAGAUCCAAAGUACAGCAGGGGAGAAGAAUCUUGAUGUUAUGAUUUAGGAGAACAGCACUAGACUUGACGUACAAGCAAACUCUAACUCAAGAAUGCCCUGAGGAGGGAAGAAAACAAUCUGUGAAAACCCAGGCGUGAAUCAGAUAUUUCAAAGAAGGCCUUUCUGGUAACGACAACUGCAGCUCGCUUCAACUGAGCCUCGCACUGCUCCCAACCAGUGGACACGGCUUUAUCACCACCACAGCACAGUUAAGAAACUAAAGGCUAGGAAGCCAGACCAGCCCCUGCUUUUUGUGCACUGCCCACCACAGGAAGCCACUCCUUACACUGCCGCAUGAGAAGCACGUUUACAACACUGCUCUUGGGCGGUGGUUACCAAUUUCACACACGAGUUCAAUUCAGAAGUGAAACAAAACCAAACCAACCGAGGGAACGCAGCCUUCUGUUUUGGUAUGGAUAGGAUAACCAACAAAAACCACCAUCACUGCCUCUUUUUCUUUCACAGAAGAGAAGGAGGAAAUUUCUGGCUCCAUAGUUUGGGUACGGUUAAGAUCUGUGCAUUUUACUGAACGUAAAGAUUACUCAAAACCAACCCACCCACCCAUAAACAAGCACCCCCCAGUCAUCUAUGCAUGCUAAGAUGACUGGGGGUGAAAUGUACUGGUGCCUGACACUUCCUUUCAAGCGGUUAAAAAUCAGAUGGAAGGUGAUAAAACAAAUAUAACAAUGUUAAUAAAUUACAGAAUCAAGGAUCUAUGGGAAUUUACAGUGUAACUCUUUACAAUGUUCAUCAUGUUUGAAAUUUUUCAUAAUAAAAUAUUAGAAAAAAAC
This is a long non-coding RNA of Lagenorhynchus albirostris (white-beaked dolphin), 4849 nucleotides long. RefSeq lists it as uncharacterized. The transcript has 6 exons. Lineage: Eukaryota; Metazoa; Chordata; Mammalia; Artiodactyla; Delphinidae. The record is from RefSeq and is a predicted model, not a curated record.